GUAUUAUAGCCCUGGAAACAGCAUUAUAUACUUGUAGGAAGGAAAGGAACUUUUUAUACAUCAGAAAUUUAAAUUGUUUAUUUCAAAUUUGGAUUGAAAUGUUCUUCUAGUAAAAUGUUGGAUAUCAAAAUUACUCCCAGGAAGAUGACUGACUGAUUUAUGAAGAAAUAACAAAUAAUAAAAAAACCAAGUAUCAAGUCGAUCAGAAAGCGCAACAAAUAAAGGAGAAGUUCCUGGGCUCAUCCUCGAUGGAUAAGACCGAGUUAUGACCUCGGACUGCCAACACACGGCGUGAUUCUCGAUUGAAGCUGGAAUAGCCAGUGGACUGCGAAAAAAUCGAUUUCGGAUAUAUCCAUCGAGGGGUGAAAUAAUGCCGAGUCUAGGUGUAAAAUGGCUUUCUCUUACCUGGUGGCAAGGUUGGAUGUGGUGCUGCGUCGCGUCCUGAUAACUUGGCUGGAAGCAGUUCGUCUCGAGGGUUGCGUAUCCGCACAUCUUAAUACGAAAAGAAAAUUGGUAGAAAGUGGAGGAUAGCUUGGAGGAGGCGUUGGCGGAUGGACGACUGCAUGUUUCAACGAGAGGAGAACAUCGG
Cimex lectularius (bed bug) is the source of this 589-nucleotide long non-coding RNA. RefSeq lists it as uncharacterized. The transcript is spliced from 5 exons. The record is from RefSeq and is a predicted model, not a curated record. NCBI's taxonomy places the organism in Eukaryota, Metazoa, Arthropoda, Insecta, Hemiptera, Cimicidae.